Calidris pugnax (ruff) is the source of this 7463-nucleotide long non-coding RNA. RefSeq lists it as uncharacterized. NCBI's taxonomy places the organism in Eukaryota, Metazoa, Chordata, Aves, Charadriiformes, Scolopacidae. The record is from RefSeq and is a predicted model, not a curated record. The transcript is spliced from 2 exons.
AUCCAUAAAUUUUCACCAGCUUGGCUCACCACAAAAACCUGAAAAGCAAGACAGACUCACGCCAUGGAGAAGUGUUAAAGAGCAACCUUUAAGUUUCUCAGGCAGCUGACUGUCAAAAAACCCGAGCUUUCUUUAGAAGCAACCAGAAAGACUGUGUGUAGAGAAACAGAGCAUAGCCUAUAAGAAAAAUAACACCUAUCUUUCAUGCAUUGCAUCUAAUACUGGUUUAUACCCUAAAGAGCUACAAAUGAAGUUGUUGAUUAUACACCAGUAUAGCAAUACCGGUGUGGUCUGAACUGGUCAUCAUAAUUGCAUGUGUCUCAUUUCCAAGUGUGGGUUCACUAACUAGACAGAACGAUCCCAACUUGUCCAGACCAUUCCAAUCACACUUUAAAGCACCAUGCCUGUGGGACAGCUCUGCUCUGUCGGGACUUCUCAAAUUAGAGCUUUGCAAAUGGGGCUCCUUGCUAUUCUCCAAAGGGCUGCUUCUGUAAGGUACUACCUGUGUGUGCGUGCGAGGUCACAGCAACAGCUUCUUGUUCCUUUUGAGCAAAGUUUGUUCCUGUGAGCAAGCUUGCUUGGGAACUCCCACAGCCAUUAAAGCCUGCCAGCAACCCAAGCAGCCAGCCAGUUCUUCAAAGGAAUCUCCCAGCCUUGGCAUUACUUGUAUCCUUUGUCCAGGGACAGAACAUUUGUUUCUUGAAACUGGAGCAACCAGUGUUAACUGGGCAGCCAAACCAGGUCACGCUGCCUGGACUCCUUCCUGGCACCUCUGCCACCCGCCUCCACGCCAAGGCUCAUCUGCUCCCUGCAGGAGGCUUUCCAAAAACAAACUCCUUCCUGGACUCUCCCCAAAAAGCUACUUAAUCCUAAGCUUUCCUUGACCACUGGGACGCUAAUAAGGCAGCAGAAAUGAGACUCAGGCCACCUUUGUUAAGGGGAGGCAACAUCUCCUGCCACUUGACACCAAUGUGUAGGUUUAACACUGUCCUGUGUUACCUGCCAUGGUUUUCACUAUUUCACAGAUAUUCACAUGAGUAUUUUAUUUGUGGGUUUUGGUUAAUUUGUAAAAUUUGAGGGGAAGUUAUUUUACUUUUUCCUUCCUCAGGCUCUGUGGAAGGUAUCUGUGCCAUUCUGCUUGUGUGAGCACCGACAAAUCCAUCCCCCAAGAGACAAGUAAUUAGUCACAGGGAGGUUUAAGUCUCAUUCCUAAGGAAGGAGGUAAUGUCAUGGUGGCAAAACCUGUCACCUUUGCCUGACCAACCUGAAGGGAGAAAGACCAUUGCCACACAGUCCAUUUGUGUGACAGGGGAAAGGACACUGACUUAUCUAGGGUGGAAAAGGUAAUAAUCUAAAAAUAUUCAAAGAGAAAUCAUCUCCAAGCAGCGCUAACAUUUUCACAGGCAGCUCUCUCUUCCAGUGCAUCAGAGUAUCAGCAACUAAGUGAUGGGCAGUUAUUUAAUGAGUUAAUCUCAUUAGGAUAUUUGAACUCUCAGAAGAGGCUCAACCCAUUAGCUACAUGAGAGCUUUGAAACGAGCCUUUCAAAAGGACUAUAAGAAUAUAUUAAAAAGUGGUUAAUACACUGUGGGCUUUACCAGGGUUCCUCUCUGGACCAGGCUGGCUGGCAAGAAGAGGAGAACAAGGUCAUUACUGGUGAGGUUCUCAGCAGCUCCUGCAGCCACGUAGCUAAUGGGCCCCAGUCAACCCUACAGCCCAUCGAGCAGCAUCACUGACAGUUUGCCUUCCUGUUGUUUCUAAGGUUAACUUUGCUGUGCUGUGCAAUUCCACCUUGCUUCCCAAUUCCCAAUCCUAUAGCUUUACCUGAUCUAGCUAGUUAAACCUGGACUAGUCUUACCUUGUAUAUAAGAGAAACCAAACUUAUUAACAGUUUUAAUUUAAUGUUUCUUAACCUCAUAUUCUCCACAGUGAUGGUAUCCCCUCUAUUCCUUCCCUCUUUUUUAAAAAUUUGAAUUAAAUUAGCAUAAAUGCAGAUUGUGAUUAACUAAAUUAAGAAAAAUAGCAGAGUCUCACCUGGACCAACAUCAUGUCAUUCCUUUGAUUUCAGUGGAAUACCACAGCUUACACCUCUGGAAUUUACACUGUAUAACUGAUUCCUGCUCUUCAUAUUUACUUAUAUUAGCUUCACCAGAAUUAUUCACAUCAAUAGAAUGAACAGCAUUUGACCCUAUAACAUUAAAUGAAAGGCAUUAAUAGAAAAACCUAUAGAAUAUCUUCCAGCAAUAAUUAAAACUCAGGGCAGAAUAAUUUUUUCUGUCACCAUAAAUCACAAUGAAAUGUGGAUACCUAAUGUCCGAUUAUUCAGAUCUGCUCCAUUAAAGCAGUCAAGAAAUGCCCACCACUUAAUUGUUAAUGCUAAUUGCAUUUAGUCUGUGGGUUUAAAAGCAGUGAUAUGAAACCUUCAUAUUGUUUAGAGUAUUGUAAAAUGUAACUGUUAAGUAAUGCAUUUUCAAGAGUUUGGGGAACAUUAUUAAAGUUCAUUUCCAUGCCGCAGCUGCAGGAGUUGGAAUUAUGAAAGUGAAGAAGCUGUAAAAUUGAAAAGGUCAGGAAUGACAUUCAUCUAUUCCAGCUGUCAAAUCAAGGGAAUGUUAACAAAACUAGUCUGUGGUAGAAAAGCUAAUUGUCUACUUGUAUUUUGGCUGCCCCAAUACAUGUACUGUACUGUGGCUAAUCUAUAGGAAAGACCACACUGGAAUGGCACAUCAUUUUUUUAAAAGGCCUCUUAUAAACAAAUAAACCUUAUUUCCCUAAAUAAGCAAGCUCUAAUGAUUCUAUAAACCCAUUCAGUCUACAUGGCAGCCAAAUGUUUCCAGUCAGUGUUUAAAGAAACCAGUAUGUGAAUGAAGUUCAUAUACUCCUGGAAGCAGAGACAGUUUUCAGAGUGCUGGGAGUGCGGGGCAAAUGUUAAAUUACACUCUAGGGGUGUAUUCUUGCAAGCAGCAUUUCUGAAAUGUCUCAUACUAAGGCACGUUAACAUAUAACAACAUACAGAAAAAUUUCUGUCACGCACCACAUAUUUUGUAGACGACUCAGAUUUAACGAUCCCACAGUGUGAAGGACCUUCCCUUCAGCAGUCCAUCCCCUCAAGGGGUGACAGUGCAAACACCUACACACAGAUAUCAGUGCAGACUAACUCCAGGACCUUUGUUUUUGGACGACAGACCCCUGCCACGUGCAGGAAGAGCCUGUCAUGUGCAGAAGAGCCCUCAGCAAGGAACAGUGAGGGACCUGUGCUUUUUAUGAUGCACCAAAAUCUGCCUUACACAGAAAAUGACACUCCUCAGCAACCGAGGCCAGAGAGAGCGGCUCCAGCUCUGCAGCACGCCACACAUUCAAGGGAACCCAGUGCUUCAUCUACACAAUUCUAUUGCAAGCCCCUCCGGCUAUUUUCUAUUGCUCUUUGGUUUUGUGUUUUCACCUUAUAUGCUGCAGGUGUUACCAGAGGUCUCCACGUACAACUUGAAGAACCACACGUGGCUGACACCCAAGUGUGAAGGCUCUAUCCCCACAAUGCACAUCUAUGCCACCUCAAAUUUUGAUUUUUCCUGUGUUAUGUAAUACAGGUGUGACAGAAAUAAUCCAACUUGACCUACGACAGCCUAAUAUUUAGCUCAGUAUGUAGCUUUCUGGGUAAUGUUUUAAAAAUCUUUCUGUUAUUUGACUUUUUUCCUAUGGAAAAGUAUUGCAAAAGCUAGAAACAAUACUGAUAAUUCAUGAAAUAUUCAGGUGUACAGAUGCAAUCCUUUAAUAAAUGGAAGUGACCUUCAAAACAGACAUCCCAAAGAUUAAGAGAACUUCUCAAAAGAUGGCAUUUGUCACUAAUCAAUGACUUGAAGAACUUACACUCUUCCUAGAAAUGAAUACAAAAAAAGACCUUUCAGAAUUAUACCACUUUAAAAGCAAAUCAUUCACAAAACCCACAUAAAAGAACAUUAAUGAGUUAACGAAACAACAGAAAAAAAUAUCAAACAAGAAAAUUGAAAGAAUAAAUCCCCUCGUGCCUAUCAGUACCUAUGUCCAUGUCUGGAGUGCUGGAACGCCAUCCGCACAUCCCUGUGCUGUUCCCAGGGGCUGGACGAUGCUAUCAGCAUUAACUACAUCUCUUUGAUUGUGGUAUUGUACGUCAAAAUAUUUAUAAUGUUUUACAAAUGGAUUUCCUUUUUCAUAGUCACACAGAUAUCUUGGCUCUAACUGGGUCACUGUAUUGGAACAGAUGUAAUCUCAGCAGAAUACAGUGAGAAAUCUGGGCUACGUUAAUGACUGAUCCAAUUACAGCGGAAAUCUCUAGAAAACCCAGAUUUAUUAAGAACCAGGAGACAAUGACAAUGUAUUUCUAGGGACGACCAGAUGGACAAGCCAGUCUCAAACUCUUUAAGGGGGCUGGAGCUGAACAAGCAGUGCCUAUGCCAUUACCUACGUAGUUGGAGAAAUUCCCGUUCUGAGGAUAUGAUGAAAAAUCCGGAGACUCACCGCGGACGCCUGGGGGAACUGGAUCUAAACAUGUCCUAUGGCAGGAAGCAGCAUGGCUUACACACUGCUGUGAGGGCAGGGUGACGGAGGAAAAGGUGUCCAGGAGAGAAUGGCAGGGCAGGAAUCAAGAAACCCCAGGCAGCUUUUUGUCCAAGAAGAGUAUUUACACAAAAGAGCUCCUCCCGAUUUAAUAUCAGGUCCUUUUGAAAAGCUAUGUUUUCUCUCCUGAAUAGGAAAUAAAUGCCACCCAUCCAGGCUGCAGUCUGAUCCCAUGCGUAAGCAAACCCGGCAACCUACCACAGAUUUGCACCCAGAAAAAGAGAAUGAAAAAUACUUGAGAAAUCUGAAUUUAAACAGCUCCUUUUACCACUCCAAAAGCAGGUAAAAUUUCACAGCGUCCUCCGUGAUCUUGCAAACACGCUUCAUCAGAGGGACCUGCCCCUGUCUCCAGAAAACUGCAUCUAUGAGUAGUCCCAUUAAGGUAAUUUGGAUCUAAGAGGAUGUCUGAAGUUAAACACUUAGUUAAUUAGGAACUUUGCUGAAUCAAGGUCUUUUUUUCAGCUGAAUAUUUUACCUGAGAAGAUAUAUUAAAACAGUAGAAAAUAAUAUUUCUCAUUUAUAGAACUUCCUGCCAGCUCCAAGCUAGUAAAUAUUUACAUUUCAGCCACUCUGAUAGCUAAGGUGACCUUUCUGUUGUAAACUUUACACCUGUGCUGUAUUUUACUUUCAUUGUUAACAAUCUUUUCUGGUCCAUCUUACAUUAACAAGCAGUAUUUAAAUAUAUGCAAAUUUCAUAUUUUAGCUGAUGUUUUAGGAACAUUUUUAAGGUCACCCUGUUUGAUCUAUCACACAGACACAGCAAAUUUAUGCACCAUAUAUCCUAUCUCUACUUGUUUUUUACCUACAUCUGUCUUCUCUGAUUGCAUUUGAAUGGGCUUAUUUUCUAUUUUAAAUAAAAGAUUUAUGCCUUAGCUGUCAGUUUGCCUUUAUUUGAAAAUUUAAUUUUGUUUCUAGAAAUCUAGAUUAACUUAUUAGAUUUAACUGUCCCUUGUGCAUUGCAGCAAUAGCAGAAGUAUAUUUUCCCUCGUGGAUAGAGUACAUAAACAAAACGCUCUCGACAAAAAUAAAGAACGUUAUUACUCAGACCAAUACAAUGCAGUCAGUUCAGGAUACAAAAACUGGUGUUGUCAUUUUUAAUAAUGAUGGUGAGCAGUGGGAACUGACUAAUAAAUAUGACAACUCACAAAUCCAGGAGCCUCCAGAAACUGUGAAAUGCUUUGCAGAAAAGGCACGUUCCCCCACAAUGUCCCCUACACUUAGGUUAGCAAAUACCCUUUCAUGACACAGCACCACUGGGACACACAACUUGAUCCCUGAUACUCAUAGAUUUAUUUAAAUGAGGCAGAAAUGAGAAUCUGCCCCACUGUUUCCAGCUAGUCAGAGUCCUAUUUAUUGAUUCAGCGUGGUAUUUCACAUCUUCAGUGUGGCAUGUUCUUCAGCAGCUCUCAGCAGCGCUAUUUUCACAAUAUUGUUUCUCAAGACCCAGAAUUUCAGAGCUUUCCUAAAAGGAGAACUGACUCAUGGCAGUUGCUGCCUGUGGUCCUUGCAAUGCCCCAAACAGCUGAGUUCUCUGGGUGUUGGGUGGGGGGGUGGCAGGGCCAGGGUUGGGGAAGGUUAAUCUUUUCAAAUGUGUUCACAUGUUUUGACUCUUUUUCUCUAUUUUUCAUUUCUAGAAGUACCUGGGCUCCAGACUGGUUCUGUUAUUUUCUCUUCGCUUUGUGAUAGCCACAUCGACCUGAACAGAAUCUAUUUUUAAUCAACUCCUGCACCUCUUAUAAACUCUAAAAUCUUGCAACUCGUGAUUCUGCACUUUCAAUAAUAUGCACUGCUUUUGAAAGGAAUUAAAGCAUUCGUGUAUCAGUGAUGUUCCAUCAAGAGGCUGCAGUAUAAUAUGCCAAGAACAGAGAAAGCACAAAGCUGAAGGAUAGGGUGACACAUCUCAGGAAUCCACAUAUUUCAGCAAAGAGUUUUGUAAGGAAGAUUCUAUAACAAACAAAUUGCCUAGGGAUCCUGCUGCCCAAUUACUCGGAAACAGGCGUCCAUUCACAGUUGUCUCCUUGCUCAGCAUCCUCAAUACAGCCAUGAAUUCUUCUCUUCUAAACAAUCUCUAACUAUACCAUUACAAUUUAUUCCCUUUCAAAAGCAGAACUCUCUUCCCUCCUUCACCCUGCCCCCAAAUUGAUAAUGCCAAUUGCCCUGUCAAAUUUUUACCGUCCUUACAAGAAAUCCAGCUUGUGGCACUAAACUUUCCCAGAGUCACACACUGAUGCUCAAAGGCAGCUGUAAUUUCUCUCUUUCCUAAGAUCCUAUAUUAUGCUACUAUCCCAGCUAUCAUUAAUCUCAUCCUCCAUUAUGUCCCAAAUCAGGAAGCAGGCAACUUUCAGAUAGGGUACUCUGGUGGAGUAAGACUAAAUAGAGGCACAAAGAACCAGUCAGUUUUAAUUUUGGGACCUGCCAGAGCUAUUUUAUAUGCAAACUAAUUUGCACACCUGAAAACUGCUUAUCCGUGGUGACUGGCAUCUGUGAGAUCUAGAUGGCAAUUCUCCCCAAUUAUGCUGCACAGCAUUUUCACAUGUACAGAGAAUUUUGAUUUAGGAUCAUGGUUUUAUCAGCUGGAAUUCAUUCAAAAUGCUUUGUUUUCCAUUAGCUCCAAAUAUUCUAAAAAUGUACCUAACUUCUUGCUACUUGAAUAGAAUCUAAAAUUGUUAUAAUCUGAGUCAUACGCCUUCCCAGAGCACUUCUCAAUGCUAAAAUAAGACCUAAAUACCUAGUAAGUGUGAGUUUUAGAUUCAUAAGAAACAACUGACCUGAUUAGAAGCAACGGAUCAUUGAGGCAAGUAUCCUGCUUCUGACAGCAGCCAGCACCCGAAGCUUCAAAGGAACGCUCCGGCCCACAAUAAAACCUCAACAAUAA